UACGUAGGGGGCUAGCGUUGUCCGGAUUUAUUGGGCGUAAAGAGCGUGUAGGCGGCCAGGUAGGUCUGCUGUGAAAACUCGAGGCUCAACCUCGAGACGUCGGCGGAAACCAUCUGGCUAGAGUCCGGAAGAGGAGAGUGGAAUUCCUGGUGUAGCGGUGAAAUGCGCAGAUAUCAGGAAGAACACCCGUGGCGAAGGCGGCUCUCUGGGACGGUACUGACGCUAAGGCGCGAAAGCGUGGGGAGCGAACAGG
Molecule: ribosomal RNA, 253 nt
Filed under: uncultured bacterium
Lineage: Bacteria
Description: partial 16S ribosomal RNA
Rfam family: Bacterial small subunit ribosomal RNA
Source: RNAcentral